CCUACGGGAGACAGCAGUGGGGGAUAUUGCACAAUGGGGGGAACCCUGAUGCAGCGACGCCGCGUGGGUGAAGGAGUGCUUCGGCAUGUAAAGCCCUAUCGGCAGGGAAGAAGCAAGACGGUACCUGACUAAGAAGCCCCGGCUAACUACGUGCCAGCAGCCGCGGUAAUACGUAGGGGGCGAGCGUUAUCCGGAUUCACUGGGUGUAAAGGGAGCGUAGACAGCCAUGCAAGCCAGGGGUGAAAGCCCGGGGCCCAACCCCGGGACUGCCCUUGGAACUGGGCGGCUAGAGUGCGGGAGGGGCAGGCGGAAUUCCUGGUGUAGCGGUGAAAUGCGUAGAUAUCAGGAGGAACACCGGCGGCGAAGGCGGCCUGCUGGACCGCGACUGACGUUGAGGCUCGAAAGCGUGGGGAGCGAACAGGAUUAGAUACCCCGGUAGUC
RNAcentral lists this ribosomal RNA (441 nucleotides) under uncultured bacterium. RNAcentral describes it as "partial 16S ribosomal RNA". It matches the Rfam family "Bacterial small subunit ribosomal RNA", at positions 338 to 795 of the family's 1533-position model. The record is from RNAcentral.